GGCCGGUGAUGCUAGAAAAUAUUUGCUACUCUUGAUGGCAAUCGCCCAUUUGAUGAGUCUCUUCCACCAAGAUCUCUGAGGCU
RNAcentral lists this small nucleolar RNA (83 nucleotides) under Glycine max (soybean). RNAcentral describes it as "snoRNA SNORD24". It matches the Rfam family "Small nucleolar RNA SNORD24". From Rfam's summary of the family: U24 is a member of the C/D class of snoRNA which contain the C (UGAUGA) and D (CUGA) box motifs. C/D box snoRNAs have been shown to act as methylation guides for a number of RNA targets. U24 is encoded within an intron of the gene for ribosomal protein L7a in mammals, chicken and Fugu. The record is from Rfam by way of RNAcentral. Lineage: Eukaryota; Viridiplantae; Streptophyta; Magnoliopsida; Fabales; Fabaceae. RNAcentral also lists the same sequence under 1 other name.